GAUCAUGGCUCAGGGUGAACGCUAGCUACAGGCUUAACACAUGCAAGUCGAGGGGCAGCAUGAACUUAGCUUGCUAAGUUUGAUGGCGACCGGCGCACGGGUGAGUAACACGUAUCCAACCUUCCGUUUACUCAGGGAUAGCCUUUCGAAAGAAAGAUUAAUACCUGAUAGUAUGGUGAGAUUGCAUGAUAACACCAUUAAAGAUUUAUUGGUAAACGAUGGGGAUGCGUUCCAUUAGG
Molecule: ribosomal RNA, 239 nt
Filed under: uncultured bacterium
Lineage: Bacteria
Description: partial 16S ribosomal RNA
Rfam family: Bacterial small subunit ribosomal RNA
Source: RNAcentral